UACGUAGGGGGCUAGCGUUGUCCGGAAUCAUUGGGCGUAAAGCGCGCGUAGGCGGCCCGGUAAGUCCGCUGUGAAAGUCCAGGGCUCAACCCUGGAAAGCCGGUGGAUACUGCCGGGCUAGAGUCCGGGAGAGGCGAGUGGAAUUCCUGGUGUAGCGGUGGAAUGCGCAGAUAUCAGGAGGAACACCGAUUGCGAAGGCAGCUCGCUGGGACGUUACUGACGCUGAGACGCGAAAGCGUGGGGAGCGAACAGG
This 253-nucleotide ribosomal RNA is filed under the name uncultured bacterium. RNAcentral's name for it is "partial 16S ribosomal RNA". It matches the Rfam family "Bacterial small subunit ribosomal RNA", at positions 524 to 776 of the family's 1533-position model. The record is from RNAcentral.